GUGCUCACUUCAGCAGCACAUAUACUAAAAUUGGAACAAUACAGAGAAGAGCAGCAUGACCCCUGUGCAAGGAUGGCCCACAAACUCAUGAAGUGUUCCAUAUUUAA
Molecule: small nuclear RNA, 107 nt
Organism: Nannospalax galili (Upper Galilee mountains blind mole rat)
Lineage: Eukaryota; Metazoa; Chordata; Mammalia; Rodentia; Spalacidae
Source: Ensembl